UACAGAGGUCUCAAGCGUUGUUCGGAUUCAUUGGGCGUAAAGGGUGCGUAGGUGGCGCCGUAAGUCAGGUGUGAAAUCUCGGGGCUCAACCCCGAAACUGCACUUGAUACUGCGGUGCUCGAGUACUGGAGGGGAGAUUGGAAUUUACGGUGUAGCAGUGAAAUGCGUAGAUAUCGUAAGGAAGACCAGUGGCGAAGGCGAAUCCCUGGACAGUUACUGACACUGAGGCACGAAGGCCAGGGGAGCAAACGGG
Molecule: ribosomal RNA, 253 nt
Filed under: uncultured bacterium
Lineage: Bacteria
Description: partial 16S ribosomal RNA
Rfam family: Bacterial small subunit ribosomal RNA
Source: RNAcentral